AUGCAAGUCGAACGGAAACGAUACUAGCUUGCUAGUAGGCGUCGAGUGGCGGACGGGUGAGUAACGCGUAGGAAUCUGCCUGAUAGUGGGGGAUAGCCCGAAGAAAUUCGGAUUAAUACCGCAUAAUCUAUUCGUAGUAAAGUGGGGGACUUUCGAGCCUCACGCUAUCAGAUGAGCCUGCGUAAGAUUAGCUUGUUGGUAGGGUAAAAGCCUACCAAGGCGACGAUCUUUAGCUGGUCUGAGAGGAUGAUCAGCCACAUCGGGACUGAGACACGGCCCGAACUCCUACGGGAGGCAGCAGUGGGGAAUAUUGGACAAUGGGGGCAACCCUGAUCCAGCAAUACCGCGUGUGUGAAGAAGGCCUGAGGGUUGUAAAGCACUUUCAAUUGUGAAGAAAAGUUAGCGGUUAAUAACCGUUAGCCUUGACGUUAACU
This 434-nucleotide ribosomal RNA is filed under the name uncultured bacterium. RNAcentral's name for it is "bacterial SSU rRNA". It matches the Rfam family "Bacterial small subunit ribosomal RNA", at positions 55 to 480 of the family's 1533-position model. The record is from RNAcentral.